This 345-nucleotide ribosomal RNA is filed under the name Triticum aestivum (bread wheat). Its description in RNAcentral is "partial small subunit ribosomal RNA". Lineage: Eukaryota; Viridiplantae; Streptophyta; Magnoliopsida; Poales; Poaceae. The record is from RNAcentral.
AUGUACCUUUCUGCUUUUAGUAACAAAGAUGAUGAAAUCUUUGAGCUUGUGACGCAUCCUUCUUACCAAAUGAUCAAAGAUUCUAUUCCAUUCGGAUGUAGCACGGAGUACCCAAGCAUGAUGAACUACGAAAGAACUAAAUAUAUUCCAACAGAUCAAACUGAGAAGAGGUUGCUGGAGAUAAUUCUUAACAUGGAUAAAUUUGCACAUGGCGUUGAAGUGCUGUCAAAUUAUAACCAUGCCAUUCUGUCAGAUCCGCUUGUGAGCCAGGCUGUGAAACAACAAAAGAUUCAGGAAGUCCAAGAGGCUUUAGCUCGAAAGGCAGUGGUUCUAGGCAAAGUUUGA